CCACUCAAAACAGUUGGGAUCCCAGAACCUGGCAUUAGCUGCAGAUGACAGUAGACUUAAAAGCAAGAGGAGCAAAAUAAGUCAUGUUGUGUGAUCAUCAGAUACAUUUUCUCCAAAUCCUGUUACGGAUAUUUGCCUUCUCAUCUGAACCCGCACUGCGUUCACUGGAACUGGAGACGUGGGUCACUUGCCUAACUAUAAACUAACAAAAACAAAUCUUCCUUUGACUUGAACAAGAGUUCUCAUAUGUGACUUCAAGUGCUUCUGAGUUCAGAAGUCUAGUAAGGGUCAGUGAUCCUUCCUUUUGUGCACUUACGUCUUGUCUGGAUUUGACAAGGCCGAUUC
Vicugna pacos (alpaca) is the source of this 345-nucleotide non-coding RNA. The record is from RefSeq and is a predicted model, not a curated record. Lineage: Eukaryota; Metazoa; Chordata; Mammalia; Artiodactyla; Camelidae.